Molecule: unclassified non-coding RNA, 234 nt
Filed under: plant metagenome
Description: partial contains small subunit ribosomal RNA, internal transcribed spacer 1, and 5.8S ribosomal RNA
Source: RNAcentral
UUUCCGUAGGUGAACCUGCGGAAGGAUCAUUAAAGUUAUAGUCCCCCGGACCCCUGGGCUGGGGUCUUCUGUACCACUCUUUGUCUAUUAUACCUUUGUUUCUUUGGCAGGCCUGCCCUCGGGCUGCGGGAUCCGGCCGGCUCGCGUCUGCUAGAGGACCUAAACUCUGUUUGUAUAUGAAGACUGAGUACUAUAUCAUAGCUAAAACUUUCAACAACGGAUCUCUUGGUUCUG